UACGUAGGGUGCGAGCGUUAUUCGGAAUUACUGGGCGUAAAGCGUGCGCAGGCGGUUGUGUAAGACAGACGUGAAAUCCCCGGGCUCAACCUGGGAACUGCGUUUGUGACUGCACGGCUAGAGUACGGCAGAGGGGGGUGGAAUUCCACGUGUAGCAGUGAAAUGCGUAGAGAUGUGGAGGAACACCGAUGGCGAAGGCAGCCCCUGGGCCAGUACUGACGCUCAUGCACGAAAGCGUGGGGAGCAAACAGGAUUAGAAACCCGAGUAGU
Molecule: ribosomal RNA, 270 nt
Filed under: uncultured bacterium
Lineage: Bacteria
Description: partial 16S ribosomal RNA
Rfam family: Bacterial small subunit ribosomal RNA
Source: RNAcentral